AGAGCAUCAAGCUCUGACUGCAUUGUUCCAGCCCAUGUCUAUCUGAGGGGGAUUGCCUUCACUCCCAGUGCCAAAGUUCUGCAACUGGUGUGAGUUAGUACUUAUGAAGUUAGGUGUCGCCCAUCUUCCCCACUUAUCCCCUGGGUCUUGCUUGCCAAGUCAACCAGCAGUUUUUGCUCAACUCCUGGUUUUCCCGUCUCUCUUUUUCCUCGUCCUCCUGGUUUUGACCCUUGCCGGUCCUGACUCUGAGCCCGUC
RNAcentral lists this long non-coding RNA (256 nucleotides) under Salmo salar (Atlantic salmon). Its description in RNAcentral is "lncRNA (ENSSSAG00000119514.1, ENSSSAG00020079307.1)". Lineage: Eukaryota; Metazoa; Chordata; Actinopteri; Salmoniformes; Salmonidae. The record is from RNAcentral.